UUUUCUCUUCCUUCCUCAUAUUCAAAUUCUUACUCUCCCUUUCCUCCCCUCUCUUACAUUUCUUUAGUUUCUUUUCCUUCCUCCCCUUCGCAUUCUGCCGUUCCUCUCACUCUUCAUCAUUCUUCUGCUGUUGCGGAACUACACACAUCGAAGCACUGCUUUAACAUCAUAUAAUAGUCCGUGUGCCAAAUUAAUCCGGCUGCCCACUUACAUUUUUGACCAAAGGGUCAGUUACGGAAUCAAAUAUUUUCACUCUGAAAUCUUUUUCAACGCAGUAAAGAAAUCUGCUCCGGUGUUGGGGUUUGAGUUCGGCCCCUGAACCACUUAUUUAUGCUACUGUUGUGUAUGUGUAGCGAAUGACUACAUAAUGUAUCAGUGAUGUAGUGAGUCCCGUGCCAGAACCUCCCGGACUUUAUUUACCUCCUUGGUAGAAACAUACAUACACAGCUCUGUGUGUAUGUAUGUUUCUACCAAGGAGUCUUACCGCCUCAACCUCCACCACUUCUACCACAACCACCACCACGGCUCGCUGAUGGAUUCCCUUGGAACAUCGACCCCCUUUUUCUUUUUUGACCUGUUUUGGUCUCUUUAUCUGACCCCUUACCUCUGGCUAUUUUACACGGGAUUACCAGCAGGCGCCGGCCAUGGGCAAUGCAGCGACGGCAAAGAAAGGGGAUCCAGCCGAAAACGGUAGGUGUCCGCUGGGGAUCGAAACCUUCACCCACUUUAUACUAAAUAUCUCUCAUCCGCUUCCUCUAUCCUUUCCACACAUUGCCACAUCGAUUUCCAACCCCG
RNAcentral lists this long non-coding RNA (795 nucleotides) under Octopus vulgaris (common octopus). Lineage: Eukaryota; Metazoa; Mollusca; Cephalopoda; Octopoda; Octopodidae. The record is from RNAcentral.